RNAcentral lists this long non-coding RNA (423 nucleotides) under Setaria viridis. RNAcentral's name for it is "long non-coding RNA (SVIR_LNC002381)". Lineage: Eukaryota; Viridiplantae; Streptophyta; Magnoliopsida; Poales; Poaceae. The record is from RNAcentral.
GCUCUGACUCUCGAGAGAAAGUCUUGCCUUUGGCGGGAGGACUCCUUCUUUUUGCAACUAAAACCUAUCCACUUCCUUGAGAAAUUCAAUACCUACUUCGGUACGAUACAUACGGCCUCGGCAAAGCAGAGAAGGGAUAGCGAUGCGAUUCCUACUAGUACUAACGAUUCAAACCUAGCCCCUUAGACUGUUCCCAUCUCCUUCCGAGAAAUCCGAUUUAGCGCUGGAGGGCCGUACCUCUAUUUACGAUAAUUGCUUUAGGAGCAGGUGCCUUUUAGGAUUAGGAUUCGGAAGUACCGUUGUUUCCGUAGAGGAUUUCGCAGCUUGUUUCGAGUCCUUCUUUUACUUUAUCCUUCCUUUCUUUUUAGUCAAGAUGUGCUGUAAGGAUUAAGAGUGUACCUUAUGUGUUUUCAAUUCUGCUUC